Long non-coding RNA from Raphanus sativus (radish), 548 nucleotides. RefSeq lists it as uncharacterized. NCBI's taxonomy places the organism in Eukaryota, Viridiplantae, Streptophyta, Magnoliopsida, Brassicales, Brassicaceae. The record is from RefSeq and is a predicted model, not a curated record. The transcript is spliced from 2 exons.
AAGAAUGGGGUUUUCCAAAAAUAUUUGUUUUUUUAUAUUUGGUUAAGCCAAAUGGGCUUUAAUCUUAACAAAUUACAAAGUUAAAUUUCGGCCCAAGCCCCAUCCGUCACAACAAUAUCUACCGACAACAUAUGCUUCCAUUUUUUCUUGUUUUAGACAUAUCGAAAAUAAAAUAAAAAACAAAAGAAACGCUUCUCCGAUGGCGAUUCAGUGAACAAAAGAGAAAGCGGCCGACUCGUUCCUCUACGAUCUUCAUCGGAUGAUGUAUCGAAGGAAGUAAUCAACUCGAGCCUGAUGCUUUAGCUUCAUCAAAGCCUUGAGUUCAUGUUUCCUCACCAUUUCUCUGGUAAGAAUGAACCAAUCUCCGAUAAAUAAUGUGGUACAUAUAGGUUGUAUAAUAGAUUUUGAGAUGAAUAGAUUUGUUAAUCGGGUCAGUGUUUUAGUAUCCUAUCUCGAUAAUACUGUAAUGGUUGUCAUGGUUUUCAUAUCAAUACAUCUUUUCUUAGCUUGUAUAUAAAGUUUUGAGAUGAAUAAAUUUGUUAACCCGG